GAUGAACGCUGGCGGCGUGCUUAAUACAUGCAAGUCGAGCGAACAGACCAGGAGCUUGCUCCUUUGACGUUAGCGGAGGACGGGUGAGAAACACGUGGAUCCCCUACCUGUCAGUCGGGGAUAACCUCGGGAAAGCGGCGCUAAUACCGGAGAAUAUAUUGAACCACAUGGUUCAUUGGAGAAAGUCGGUUUUGCUGUCUCUAAUAGAUGCAUCCGCGCCGCUUUAGGUAGUUGGUAAGGUAACCGCCUUCCACGGCGACGAUGCCUAGCCGACCGAAGGGGGUGGUAGCCCACCCGGGAACUUAGACACGCACCAGCCUCCUACGGGACGCCGCAGUAUGGAAUGUUCCGCAAUAGGCGACAGCCUGACGGAGCGACGGCGCGUGAGAUAUAAAGGUCUUCCGAUCGUAAAGCUCUGUUAUUGGGUGAGAACAAAUGUGUAAGUAACUGUGCACGUAUUGACGGUACCUAAUCAGGAAGCCACGGCUAACUACGUG
RNAcentral lists this ribosomal RNA (497 nucleotides) under uncultured bacterium. RNAcentral describes it as "partial 16S ribosomal RNA". It matches the Rfam family "Bacterial small subunit ribosomal RNA", at positions 28 to 507 of the family's 1533-position model. The record is from RNAcentral.